AUUGAACGCUGGCGGCAUGCCUUACACAUGCAAGUCGAACGGCAGCACGGGAGCAAUCCUGGUGGCGAGUGGCGAACGGGUGAGUAAUAUAUCGGAACGUGCCCAGUCGUGGGGGGAUAACGUAGCGAAAGCUACGCUAAUACCGCAUACGAUCUAUGGAUGAAAGCGGGGGAUCGCAAGACCUCGCGCGAUUGGAGCGGCCGAUAUCAGAUUAGGUAGUUGGUGGGGUAAAAGCCUACCAAGCCUUCGAUCUGUAGCUGGUCUGAGAGGACGACCAGCCACACUGGAACUGAGACACGGUCCAGACUCCUACGGGAGGCAGCAGUGGGGAAUUUUGGACAAUGGGCGCAAGCCUGAUCCAGCAAUGCCGCGUGCAGGAUGAAGGCC
This 387-nucleotide ribosomal RNA is filed under the name uncultured bacterium. RNAcentral describes it as "bacterial SSU rRNA". It matches the Rfam family "Bacterial small subunit ribosomal RNA", at positions 30 to 416 of the family's 1533-position model. The record is from RNAcentral.